GAGUAACGGAGAAUUAGGGUUCGAUUCCGGAGAGGGAGCCUGAGAAAUGGCUCCCACAUCCAAGGAAGGCAGCAGGCGCGUAAAUUGCCCGAAUCCUGACAUAGGGAGGUAGUGACAAGAAAUAACAAUACAGGGCUCUUUGAGUCUUGUAAUUGGAAUGAGUACAAUUUACAUCUCU
RNAcentral lists this ribosomal RNA (178 nucleotides) under uncultured Isochrysis. RNAcentral describes it as "partial Eukaryotic small subunit ribosomal RNA". It matches the Rfam family "Eukaryotic small subunit ribosomal RNA", at positions 357 to 534 of the family's 1831-position model. The record is from RNAcentral. Lineage: Eukaryota; Haptophyta; Isochrysidales.